RNAcentral lists this ribosomal RNA (507 nucleotides) under uncultured bacterium. RNAcentral's name for it is "partial 16S ribosomal RNA". It matches the Rfam family "Bacterial small subunit ribosomal RNA", at positions 28 to 506 of the family's 1533-position model. The record is from RNAcentral.
GACGAACGCUGGCGGCGUGCCUAAUACAUGCAAGUCGAACGCUUCUUUCCUCCCGAGUGCUUGCACUCAAUUGGAAAGAGGAGUGGCGGACGGGUGAGUAACACGUGGGUAACCUACCCAUCAGAGGGGGAUAACACUUGGAAACAGGUGCUAAUACCGCAUAACAGUUUAUGCCGCAUGGCAUAAGAGUGAAAGGCGUUUUCGGGUGUCGUUGAUGGAUGGACCCGCGGUGCAUUAGCUAGUUGGUGAGGUAACGGCUCACCAAGGCCACGAUGCAUAGCCGACCUGAGAGGGUGAUCGGCCACACUGGGACUGAGACACGGCCCAGACUCCUACGGGAGGCAGCAGUAGGGAAUCUUCGGCAAUGGACGAAAGUCUGACCGAGCAACGCCGCGUGAGUGAAGAAGGUUUUCGGAUCGUAAAACUCUGUUGUUAGAGAAGAACAAGGACGUUAGUAACUGAACGUCCCCUGACGGUAUCUAACCAGAAAGCCACGGCUAACUACGU